GCGGAAUGCUUUACACAUGCAAGUCGAACGGCAGCACGGGGGCAACCCUGGUGGGGAGUGGCAGACGGGUGAGUAACACGUGGGAACGUAUCCUUUGGUUCGGAAUAACUUGGGGAAACUCAAGCUAAUACCGGAUAAGCCCUUAUGGGGAAAGGUUUACUGCCGAAGGAUCGGCCCGCUUCUGAUUAGCUAGUUGGUGAGGUAAUGGCUCACCAAGGCGACGAUCAGUAGCUGGUCUGAGAGGAUGAUCAGCCACACUGGGACUGAGACACGGCCCAGACUCCUACGGGAGGCAGCAGUGGGGAAUAUUGGACAAUGGGGGCAACCCUGAUCCAGCCAUGCCGCGUGAGUGAUGAAGGCCUUAGGGUUGUAAAGCUCUUUUACCCGGGACGAUAAUGACUGUACCGGGAGAAUAAGCCCCGGCUAACUUCGUGCCAGCCGCCGCCGUAA
Molecule: ribosomal RNA, 450 nt
Filed under: uncultured bacterium
Lineage: Bacteria
Description: partial 16S ribosomal RNA
Rfam family: Bacterial small subunit ribosomal RNA
Source: RNAcentral